AUGUUGUUCGAAUGCAAAUUGGCAAUGGACGUGUGGAAGAUGCUCGGUCUUGAGCUUGUUAUCAAACAGGCACUGAAAGUUGACAAGGCAGGUGAGCUUGUGUUGGCACAUCUUUUGUGCCAUCCAGAACAACAAAUUCAAGUGUUGGGCUUGCCGAAGUUCAGAGAAACGAUGGCAACGACGGCUUGGUAUCUGUGGUAUGAAAGGCGAAAAUUGACACAUGACGAAGAAACUCAAAGUGCAUAUCAAAUCAAUAUGUCAGUGAGAGGCUUAGUAGCAAAUUAUACCAUCUCUUAUAGCCCAAAGGCUCACGUCCGUUCAGAUGCUUGGUUGAAACCAAAGUAUGGUUACGUGAAAUUAAAUGUUGACGCGGGAUUUGAUAGUGACACACUCGCAGCAACAUUUGGAGCAGUUAUCCAGGACCAUGGGAGGAAAUUUAUAGCGGCUGCUAAUAAAAAGAUGGACCUUUGCUUUGACUUGUUCACAGCAGAAGCAAUUGCAGUGAGGUUUGGUUUGAAUCUUGCUAAUACCGUUGGAUGUAGUAAGAUUGAAGUGACUUCGGAUAGCGUGGAGGUGGUGAAUGCGUUGAGCCAAGGCUACUCUUCUUCAGUCGCUUCAUCCAUUAUAGACGACUAUUAUUUCAUGUCAUUAGGUUUUUUCCAUGUCAUUUAUGAUCAUUGUAAUAGGGAAUAUAAUCGAGUAGCUCAUGAACUAGCAAGGUUAGCUAGGUUUUCUUCUUCGAGUGUUUGGAUGGAUAACGCCUCUAAUGAGGUUAUCCCUUUACUUGUAAACGAUGCUACUUUACUUAUGAAUGAAUAA
Molecule: ribosomal RNA, 819 nt
Filed under: Triticum aestivum (bread wheat)
Lineage: Eukaryota; Viridiplantae; Streptophyta; Magnoliopsida; Poales; Poaceae
Description: partial small subunit ribosomal RNA
Source: RNAcentral